RNAcentral lists this ribosomal RNA (253 nucleotides) under uncultured bacterium. RNAcentral's name for it is "partial 16S ribosomal RNA". It matches the Rfam family "Bacterial small subunit ribosomal RNA", at positions 524 to 776 of the family's 1533-position model. The record is from RNAcentral.
UACGUAGGGUGCAAGCGUUAAUCGGAAUUACUGGGCGUAAAGCGUGCGCAGGCGGUUUUGUAAGUCUGUCGUGAAAGCCCCGGGCUCAACCUGGGAAUUGCGAUGGAGACUGCAAGGCUUGAAUCUGGCAGAGGGGGGUAGAAUUCCACGUGUAGCAGUGAAAUGCGUGGAGAUGUGGAGGAACACCGAUGGCGAAGGCAGCCCCCUGGGUCAAGAUUGACGCUCAUGCACGAAAGCGUGGGGAGCAAACAGG